RNAcentral lists this ribosomal RNA (486 nucleotides) under Megaselia gregaria. RNAcentral describes it as "eukaryotic LSU rRNA". It matches the Rfam family "Eukaryotic large subunit ribosomal RNA", at positions 283 to 650 of the family's 3401-position model. Lineage: Eukaryota; Metazoa; Arthropoda; Insecta; Diptera; Phoridae. The record is from RNAcentral.
CAGCACUAAGUGGGUGGUAAACUCCAUCUAAAACUAAAUAUAACCAUGAGACCGAUAGCAAACAAGUACCGUGAGGGAAAGUUGAAAAGAACUCUGAAUAGAGAGUUAAAUAGUACGUGAAACUGCUUAGAGGUUAAGCCCGAUGAACCUGAAUAUCCGUUGUAGAAAAUUCAUCAUUAAUUGUAUGAUAUUUUUAGUUAAAUAUUAUAUCAAUAGUGUGCACUUUUUCUACUUAAGGACAUUGUAAUCCGUUAAUGUUUAAAUGCGUAUUAUAAGAACAUUUACAAUAGUUUUAACAUUUAUUUGGACUUGUUUUGAAUAUAUGUUUUAAUGUAAAUGCUUCGAAUAUGCCAUUGACGGAUUCUUACGUAUAUUGCACUUAAAUCUUUUUGAUUUUAUAAUAGUAUGAUUAUCAUUGAUUUUUGUAUUUAUUAUAUGUGCAUAUAUGAUUGACAAUGCGAAAGAUUCAGGAUACCUUCGGGACCC